CGUGGGGGUGGAGAUUCGGCAGGCCAGUAUCUCUCUGGGUAGACCUUGGAGUCGGGUUGUUUGUGAAUGCAGCCCAAAGUGGGUGGUAAACUCCAUCCAAGGCUAAAUACAAGCACGAGUCCGAUAGCGAACAAGUACCGUGAGGGAAAGUUGAAAAGUACUUUGAAGAGAGAGUAAACAGUGCGUGAAACCGCUCAGAGGUAAACGGGUGGAGUUGAACUGCAAGCUCUGUGGAUUCAGCUGGUGAGUAUGGUUUGGGCUUGGCCAAAUAGGUUGAGCUGCGGGGUCUGCUUAUUCGCAGGUCUUUGUCUUCGGGCAGGGAUGCACGAUGCACCUACCAUGUGCUGUGCGCCUCGUGGUUUCGAAUCUGCUCGCUAGUGCACUUUCGCAGGGUGUUCACCACGACCGGCAUUGCUGUCUGGCUAUUGUGGUUAAACCGGUCUUGCAUUGUCCUUGUGGCUUUGCUUGGUCGGGACGGCAGGUAGCUCGUUGGUUGUUCGUAGCUUGCUGCGUUCGGCCUCGGGUGUAAUCAGCUGACUUCAAUGGUUCUGUGCAGUAUGUCGGAGACGGCGGCUUGUUGUGUGUGCGUGCGUGCCGGUCUCAUGGGCGUGCUCGGGUAUGACUGUCAUGUUGCUUGCGUAAGCAGGCCUGGUGGUUGCUCGGGUUUGUUCUGUGGGUGGUUGCGUGCGUGGCACUAUACAGGGCCAAUAGUCUGUGGUGUAGUGGUAGACGAUCCACCCGACCCGUCUUGAAACACGGACCAAGGAGAGUAACAUGUGCGCGAGUCAUUGGGCGUAACGAAACCCAAAGGCGCAGUGAAAGUAAAGGCUUGGCUUUGUCCUUGCUGAGGUGAGAUCUCGCCGUUUCUCAUGCGCGGUACUACCAAGCAUCGAGCGGUGGGCGCAUCACCGGCCCGUCUCAUGACGUAGACACAUAGUCUUCGGACCAGUGCACCGUCGGGGCGGAGCAUGAGCGUACAUGUUGAGACCCGAAAGAUGGUGAACUAUGCUUGCGCAGGUUGAAGCCAGAGGAAACUCUGGUGGAGGACCGCAGCGAUUCUGACGUGCAAAUCGAUCGUCAAACGUGAGUAUAGGGGCGAAAGACUA
Molecule: ribosomal RNA, 1106 nt
Filed under: Saccocoelioides olmecae
Lineage: Eukaryota; Metazoa; Platyhelminthes; Trematoda; Plagiorchiida; Haploporidae
Description: eukaryotic LSU rRNA
Rfam family: Eukaryotic large subunit ribosomal RNA
Source: RNAcentral